RNAcentral lists this transfer RNA (77 nucleotides) under Omnitrophica bacterium RIFCSPLOWO2_12_FULL_50_11. RNAcentral's name for it is "tRNA-Glu". It matches the Rfam family "tRNA". Rfam says of the family: Transfer RNA (tRNA) molecules are approximately 80 nucleotides in length. Their secondary structure includes four short double-helical elements and three loops (D, anti-codon, and T loops). The record is from RNAcentral. Lineage: Bacteria; Pseudomonadati; Candidatus Omnitrophota.
GUCCCCGUCGUCUAGCCUGGUUAGGACAAGGGCCUUUCGAGCCCUCGGCAGGGGUUCAAAUCCCCUCGGGGACGCCA